Molecule: ribosomal RNA, 253 nt
Filed under: uncultured bacterium
Lineage: Bacteria
Description: partial 16S ribosomal RNA
Rfam family: Bacterial small subunit ribosomal RNA
Source: RNAcentral
UACAGAGGUGGCAAGCGUUGUUCGGAAUUACUGGGCGUAAAGGGCGCGUAGGCGGCUUUGCAAGUGGCGGGUGAAAUCCCUCGGCUUAACCGAGGAACUGCCUGCCAGACUGUGAGGCUUGAGACCGGGAGAGGUGAGUGGAAUUCCCAGUGUAGCGGUGAAAUGCGUAGAUAUUGGGAGGAACACCAGUGGCGAAGGCGGCUCACUGGACCGGAACUGACGCUGAGGUGCGAAAGCGUGGGGAGCAAACAGG